Molecule: long non-coding RNA, 3643 nt
Filed under: Citrus maxima (pomelo)
Lineage: Eukaryota; Viridiplantae; Streptophyta; Magnoliopsida; Sapindales; Rutaceae
Description: long non-coding RNA (CMAX_LNC003373)
Source: RNAcentral
AAAAGUGCAAACAACAGACUCACUCACCAUUCACAUCUCACGCCUCCCCUAUUUCCCACCGCUCACAAGCGGUUGAAAUCAGAAAUCACCCCAAAUCCCUAAUCAUUGAACGUUGUCCACCUCGCAAUCACUAUCAUUGAACGUCGGAUACCUCGCUUGAGUUGAGCACGCGUUGCUGUUUUCGAACACCAGCUGUGUUGCCUCGCCUCACUCAACGCACUUCAUUGUCAUCAAACCCCGACAACCCGCUGCAUCACUGGCUUGCGAAGCACAUCAUACACAGUUGUCUUGCACAUCACUCAACGCACUUCAUUGUCAUCAAACCCCAAAAGCCCGCUGUAUCACUGGCUUGUGAAGCACAUCAUACAUAGUUGUCUUGUCCAUUCUUUUCAUUGUUGGUCACUAUUAAUACCAAAGGUGAGCACAGAAAUUUCCAACAAAUCAAUUUUAGAUUUUCAAUGAAUUAGUAUGUAUAAGCAUAAAUGCAUAAAUACAGUUUGUGCUUUAUUAAUUACUUUAAUUUCAUAUUUACUUUAAUUAUUUUAAUUAAGUUUUUGGUUUAAUUACUUAAAUUAAAUGCAUUAAUUUUCAAUAUAAUGUAAAUGUUUAAUCUUCUUUUUUUCACACAUGCUAACUCACUUAAUGAAUUAUUUUUGUUAGGUUUUGGGAUUAGUUAAACAUGGCUGAAGAGGAACAAAGAAAUAAUUUUAUAUUCUCUCCAAAUAUUGUUAAUAAUGUAGAUGAUAGAUUGGAGGAUGUCCACGAACCUAAAAAUGACAAUUUUGUUGGAGUUGAACUGGAUUUAAUAGUUGUAAAAAGUGGUUGUGGCCGUGGUAGCUGUGGUCGUGGUCGUGCAUGUGGUGUUAAACAAAAAAGAGGUCAUGGCAAUAAAGUUCUAGCAGAAGGAUCUACAUCAGGACAAUCUAGUGGUGGUAGGCUAACUUCUGAUGUAUGAAAUCAUUUCAAGAGGUACAAAGAUUAGGAUGGGGAGUUUCAGGUAGUUUGCAAAUUGUAGUAAAGUAUUGACAUGACAUUGUUCUAGUGGGACUAUACACUUAAAAAAUCAUUUUACUAGUUGUUUGGGAAAGAAUUUUAAAGAUUUUGGCCAAAUGCUUCUUGCCAAGAAAAACAUGAUGGAUCUGUUACAGUUAAAAGUUGUUUUAAAGUAAAAUGUGAUAUGGCGAUGUUGAGGAUUACUAUUGCAAGAAUGAUCAUCUUGCAUGAGCUUCCACUUUCAUUUGUUGAAUAACAAGGGUUUCGUGAUUUGAUGAGGUUGGUUCAACCCGCACUUGAUCCAAUAAUAGAAACAUCAUCAAGAAUAAAAUUUUGAAGCUUUAUGAUGUUGAGAGGUCGAAACAAUAAAUUCUGUUAGUUGCUUAUAAGAGUAGGAUUGCAAUCACUACAAACAUGUGGACGACUAGUAACCUUAAAAAGUUUUAUAUGUUUAUUACAGUGCAUUAUAUUGACAACCUAUGGGUGUUACAGAGUUGCAUUAUAGGUAACACUUUUAAUAUUUAUAUUAUGAUUAUUUUAAUGAUUUUAAUGGUUAUGCUUAUUUAUAUUAUGCUUAUUUAUUUUAUGCUUGUUUUAAUGAUUUUAAUUAUAUUGUUCUUUUUUAAUUUUUUCUUUUGCGUUAUUAGGUUUAUAUAUGUGCCAACUCCACAUAGUGGUGGAAUAAUAAGUAAUGUUCUAUAUAAUUUUUUGAUGGAUUGGAAUAUUGAUAGGAAAGUGUCAACUAUGAUUGUGGAUAAUUGUGCUGGUAAUGAUGCGAUUAUUGGAUAAAUUUUCACCAAGUUCAAUGAUUUUAGGCAAGAUAAUUUUUCAAAUAUGUUGUUGUGCUCAUAUCUUGAAUUUGAUUGUGAGAGAUGAGAUGUCUAUUAUGGAGAAAGUUGUUGAAAAUAUAAGAGAUAGUGUCAGUUAUUGGACUGCUAUACCUAGAAGAGUUGAAAAUUUUGAGGCUGCAAUGCACCGAAUAGGUAUUAAAAAGUCCAAACAUUUGGUUUUCGAUUGUAAGACUUGAUAGAAUUUAACUUACUUAAUGUUUACUAUUGCUUUGCUGCACAAAGAUGUAUUUGUUUGAUUGAGUAAGCUUAAUAAAUGGUAUAAAUGUUUCCCUAAUGAGUCGGAGUGGGAUUUGGCAAAAGUUUUGCGUGACUAUUUGGAUUUGUUUUGUAUGUUAACAAAAAUUAUUUUUGGAUCUCGAUAUCCCACUUCUAACUUAUUUUUUUCCCAAAAUUUAUGAGAUUAUAUUAUCAAUGAUUUCAUGGAAGGUGUCACCCAAUGUGGGGAUUAGGCAAAUGGUUGAGAAUAUGAUUGCUAAGCGUAAGAAGUAUUGAGAUGUUAUUUAUGAAGUGUUGGCUAUAGGGAAUAUCUUAGAUCCUAUGUUUAAGAAGAUGAUGGUUGAUGACUCUAUGAAAUGAAAGUUAUCAUGGCAUUUUUAGAUUUAAACUAAUAUUACUUAGAGAAUAAAUUAUGUGUUUUUAUUACAUUUUUAGUUACACUUUGCAUGAGUAUCUAUUUUAGUUUAAUUUUAAUAAAUUGAUUGUCUUUUAGAUCACUUUGUGCUCUGAUCAUGUGUAUGAUUUGUAGGUGACCAAAAAGUUCAAACUUUAUGGAUGAAAUGUUACUGCAGCAAACUUGUAGAAAUAACAAAGAACUUGUCUGCAGAUGAACUAAAACAAGUUUGAAUCAAAGAAGAUGUUGUAGCAAUUGCUACAGCAAUCUAGAAGCAAAUACAGAUAAGACUACCCACGUGUUAACUAACAAAAUAGAGACAGACAGCAUAAAAAGAUAUGCAAUCCGAGGUUCCCAAAAAAAAAAAAAAAAAAACAUGUGGCUAGUGGCUACAUGCUUUUGGUUGCCCUAAUUCCAAGAUAUAAAAAAAGCACACAUGAAAAAAGAAAAAAGAGUCGUCACAAAAAGAAAUAACAGAGAGAAAAAGAAGAGAAUAAGAGAUAGUUGAGGACUGCAGUAAGGAAUUUCUGAGAAAAAGAAGAAGAGAUCACACAAACCUAAUAGAGGGACGUAUUGUAUUAGCGGAACUCAAUUUCUCUUCUUUAUUUGCUCAUUUUCUUCUCUCUAUGGGAAUGUAUUUGAUGGCAAAAACGAGUAUUGUUACUGUUUUAUUGUUUAUCAUAAACUAGACUUCGAUGUAGUUGAGUGUUAAAUAAGCUUAAUAGUUAUCUGACUUUUAUAUGUGUGUUGCUUAGAAUCUGCUGUAGUAUUUUGUCCUGAUUUUACUUAUUGCAAAUCUUUAUUUCGGUUGAUUACCCAUUUAGUAGAUACUAACUAAGAAGGAGCCUAAAAAAUGUCCGACUUAGUGGAACAGAUCAAGAUAAUACAUGAUUUUAGAUUAGGUUUCUUAAGUUGAGUUAAUCUGGAUUUGAAUAGGGUCAUACUUAAUAUAAGAUUAAUGAAGAACUAGACAUAGAGAUUCAUCUUGUAGAGCAAUUGGAAUCUAGAACGCAUAAUGUUAUAUCUAAUGUUAGCAUAAUAGCUGGUCACUGUUAGGUUGCAUAUAGAUAUACGAAAUCUAAUAUGCGAUAGCUGAGGAUACAUGAGAGAUUCUGCCCAAGGCUGUAGCGGAUGUUGUAGCAACAAUACCGUAAUUAAAAAAUAAUCAAUCCCAUUAAGUAAGUUUAAG